AAUAUAAAUUAAACAUUACUAUAUAAGAAAUUUAUUACAUAACAUGAAUAAACAAAAUAAUACCAUAUUUUGUAAAAAAAAACAUCUUACAUAUAAUUUUUUAAAUAAUUAAUAAAAGUGUUUAGAAGAAAAAUGUGAGUUUAUUUAUCUCCCAUUAUUUUAAAAAGAGUUAAAGCUCUUAAAAUGAAUAUCCUCAUGUUUUUCAAUAUAAAUAUCCAAUUAUAUGAAAAGAAUAGUCAAAAUUUUGAAAUUGAUUGGAUAAUAUUAAUACAUAUAAUUUAUUUCGACAAAAAAAAGAAUAAAUAAAAAUUAAAGACCAAUUUAUAAUUUAGAAAAUCAUGUUUACAAAAAUGAAGCAAUGAACAGUAUUGUUUCAAAUUUGAAGCACCGUUCAUUGCUUCAUUUUAAAGCAAGAAAUAAAACAUCAAUGGAGCACAGUUUGCUUCAAAAUGAAGCAAAAAAUAGAAAAUGAAACAUUAUUGGAAAUGGUCUUAGCAGCUUCAUUUUCUUUCUAAGCUGCAAAUAAACUGUUUUUCGUUGUAAUUGGUCCAGCCUUUCCCUUGGACUCAGCAAGAACAAUUUUUAUUUCGUUCCAUCCCUCCUCUUUGUUUGAUUGAGUCAUGUACUAUUUUUUUUCUUUCUCAAGUUUCAAUCUCAAGGAAGACAAGUAUACCUUUUAAGCAUUUUCCUUCAUAUGUUGUUUUCUCGAUAUUCACAUUCACUUCUUGGAGUUCCUUUUUUUUGCAAAAGGAACAAUUGUUUGCAUAAUGUAUGGACAUGUCCUGUAAUGAGAUCUCCAUUGUUACUACCAAGUCCCAUGUUUCCUCCUCCAGCUUGGAUGUUUGAUUACUGCGUUUUACAUAGAUCAAGUAACCUAAGGUGCACGCUACCACAAUCGAACGAUAUAUCGAUGUAGAUUUUAUGAUCGAAUCUACAGAGAACUAAAGAUUUAUAACACCAAAAAUACACCAGAUUUUUUAAUCUAAGCAAAUAGGAAAAUGAGAUGAAUCUAAACUAAUGAAAUAGAAUGACAACUAAAAGCAACUAUAAGAUAAACAGAAAGACAAGUUCUUAGGUCAAAGUUAUUGAUUAAAAUGAUCAAAUGCUAUCUCAUGAUGCUUAAACAAACAAUUGCUAAUUUUUGGACUUAAGAUCACUAAUUUAAGCUAAUCCACUCAUGUGGCAAUAACUCCUAUACUAAUCAAGUUCUUAACAUCAAUUCCUAUUAGUUAAUUAACAUCAAGUAUGCAUGAAUUUCAAGUCUUAAUAGUCACUAAAUCUCUAGCAUCAACUCCCGUUGGCUAAAAAAGUAACUAAAGCACAUUGAUUAGUUCAUUCAAAUAUUUCAUAUUCUUCUAGGCAUGAAACAAUGUAUGAUCUAGAUUAUAGUUUUCCAACCUUAAUCUAGCAUUAAUCACAUCAAUCAAGUAAAGAUCAUAGAGAUUAAAUCAUCCUAAUCUACUAAACCCAAAAACUCUUAGAGUAUUACUCACUGAUUUCCAUGAAACCAAACAAACUCAUGAUAGAUUGUUAGAUAAGCAAAAGAUUAAAAAAUAGAUAAACAAAUGUUAACAAAAUAAAUCAUUAAAUCAAGCAAGAUUCAAGAUUAGAACAAAAGAAAUUCAAAUAAAAUUAAGGUUAUGUAGUUUUUGGGUUUUUAUUGCCCUUAAAUAUCUAUUUAUAGAUUUUCUAAAUCAAAUCUAAUUAACCAGAUUAAACCAUGAAAAAUCUGGAUAAAAGCUUAUUUUUAAAUGCCAAACGCAAUUUUUCCAGUCGCAAUAGCUAUCUUCCCAUCACUGCGUUUUCAUCAAUCUGCGUUUUCAUCAAUCUGCGUUUGAUCUAACAACUUUCAAGAUUUUCACCUUCCCUUCUUUCUAGAAAGCUUCAGUUGAAACCGUGGAGUAUAUGAACAAACCAUGGAAUGGAGUUGAAGAGAAAUGGAGAGCAGGGCCUCUCUUGCGUUACAAACUUACAGACCAUGGAGAGCAAUGACCGCAAUCUUCGUCGUGUUGUGGGUCGUGCUCAGCUCCUCUCUCGUUGCCACAGGCUAUUUCCUCCAUGAAUUUAACAGGCCAUGACCAUCUCUUCUUCAUCCGCCGCGAUUCAAGCUUCUACUGUCGCCGGUUCAUCAUCAACGCCUCGCCGUCGUAGCCAACGGAGAUCGGGAUCUCGGAAUCGCAGAGAAAGCUUGACCACGAGCAACCGUGGUCAACUUUAGCUUAUUUGCGCAUCUGGUCCUUUCUCUUUCAGAUAUUAUCAAAUUGACCCAGAAACCUUUGAAAAUGCUAAUACGUCCUCACGAAUCAACCCCAAACUUUCGAUUAAACAUUCUACACCUCCUCCUAAUUGAACAAUGGUCCCUCCUCUUUUGGUGGUUUUCAAAGCGGCCACAAACUUUGUAAUUUGCAAGAUUAACCUCACGAGUUUGCCCCAAA
Long non-coding RNA from Brassica napus (rape), 2435 nucleotides. RefSeq lists it as uncharacterized. NCBI's taxonomy places the organism in Eukaryota, Viridiplantae, Streptophyta, Magnoliopsida, Brassicales, Brassicaceae. The record is from RefSeq and is a predicted model, not a curated record. The transcript is spliced from 2 exons.